RNAcentral lists this ribosomal RNA (201 nucleotides) under uncultured bacterium. Its description in RNAcentral is "partial 16S ribosomal RNA". It matches the Rfam family "Bacterial small subunit ribosomal RNA", at positions 1300 to 1500 of the family's 1533-position model. The record is from RNAcentral.
GCAGGCUGCAACCCGCCCUGCAUGAAGUCGGAAUUGCUAGUAAUCGCGGAUCAGCAUGCCGCGGUGAAUACGUUCCCGGGCCUUGUACACACCGCCCGUCACACCAUGGGAGCCGGUAAUACCCGAAGUCAGUAGUCCAACCUCGUGAGGACGCUGCCGAAGGUAGGAUUGGUGACUGGGGUGAAGUCGUAACAAGGUAAC